Molecule: ribosomal RNA, 228 nt
Filed under: uncultured bacterium
Lineage: Bacteria
Description: partial 16S ribosomal RNA
Rfam family: Bacterial small subunit ribosomal RNA
Source: RNAcentral
AGUAACGUGUGGGCAACCUGCCCUAUACUGGGGAAUAAUCACUGGAAACGGUGACUAAUACCGCAUGUCAUUACGGAAGGGCAUCCUUCUGUAAGAAAAGGAAGUAAUUCGGUAUAGGAUGGGCCCGCAUCUGAUUAGCUAGUUGGUGAGAUAACAGCCCACCAAGGCGACGAUCAGUAGCCGACCUGAGAGGGUGAUCGGCCACAUUGGGACUGAGACACGGCCCAA